ACGCUCGACACCUACGGGAGGUAGCAGUGGGGAAUAUUGGGCAAUGGGCGCAAGCCUGACCCAGCAAUGCCGCGUGAAGGAAGAAGGCUUUCGGGUUGUAAACUUCUUUUGUCAGGGAAGAGAAGAAGACGGUACCUGACGAAUAAGCCACGGCUAACUACGUGCAGCAGCCGCGGUAAUCUGAGCGGGCUGGCAAGGC
This 199-nucleotide ribosomal RNA is filed under the name uncultured bacterium. RNAcentral's name for it is "partial 16S ribosomal RNA". It matches the Rfam family "Bacterial small subunit ribosomal RNA", at positions 328 to 539 of the family's 1533-position model. The record is from RNAcentral.